This 1482-nucleotide ribosomal RNA is filed under the name metagenome. Its description in RNAcentral is "bacterial SSU rRNA". It matches the Rfam family "Bacterial small subunit ribosomal RNA". The record is from RNAcentral.
AGAGUUUGAUCCUGGCUCAGAUUGAACGCUGGCGGCAUGCCUUACGCAUGCAAGUCGAACGGUAACAGGUUAAGCUGACGAGUGGCGAACGGGUGAGUAAUGUAUCGGAACGUGCCCAGUCGUGGGGGAUAACUACUCGAAAGAGUGGCUAAUACCGCAUGAGACCUGAGGGUGAAAGCGGGGGAUCGCAAGACCUCGCGCGGUUGGAGCGGCCGAUAUCAGAUUAGCUAGUUGGCGGGGUAAAAGCCCACCAAGGCGACGAUCUGUAGCUGGUCUGAGAGGACGACCAGCCACACUGGGACUGAGACACGGCCCAGACUCCUACGGGAGGCAGCAGUGGGGAAUUUUGGACAAUGGACGAAAGUCUGAUCCAGCCAUGCCGCGUGCGGGAAGAAGGCCUUCGGGUUGUAAACCGCUUUUGUCAGGGAAGAAACGACGUCCUCUAAUACAGGGUGUUAAUGACGGUACCUGAAGAAUAAGCACCGGCUAACUACGUGCCAGCAGCCGCGGUAAUACGUAGGGUGCAAGCGUUAAUCGGAAUUACUGGGCGUAAAGCGUGCGCAGGCGGUUAUGCAAGACAGAUGUGAAAUCCCCGGGCUCAACCUGGGAACUGCAUUUGUGACUGCAUGGCUAGAGUACGGUAGAGGGGGAUGGAAUUCCGCGUGUAGCAGUGAAAUGCGUAGAUAUGCGGAGGAACACCGAUGGCGAAGGCAAUCCCCUGGACCUGUACUGACGCUCAUGCACGAAAGCGUGGGGAGCAAACAGGAUUAGAUACCCUGGUAGUCCACGCCCUAAACGAUGUCAACUGGUUGUUGGGAGGGUUUCUUCUCAGUAACGUAGCUAACGCGUGAAGUUGACCGCCUGGGGAGUACGGCCGCAAGGUUGAAACUCAAAGAAAUUGACGGGGACCCGCACAAGCGGUGGAUGAUGUGGUUUAAUUCGAUGCAACGCGAAAAACCUUACCUACCCUUGACAUGUCUGGAAUCCUGAAGAGAUUUGGGAGUGCUCGAAAGAGAGCCAGAACACAGGUGCUGCAUGGCCGUCGUCAGCUCGUGUCGUGAGAUGUUGGGUUAAGUCCCGCAACGAGCGCAACCCUUGUCAUUAGUUGCUACGAAAGGGCACUCUAAUGAGACUGCCGGUGACAAACCGGAGGAAGGUGGGGAUGACGUCAGGUCAUCAUGGCCCUUAUGGGUAGGGCUACACACGUCAUACAAUGGCCGGUACAGAGGGCUGCCAACCCGCGAGGGGGAGCCAAUCCCAGAAAACCGGUCGUAGUCCGGAUCGUAGUCUGCAACUCGACUGCGUGAAGUCGGAAUCGCUAGUAAUCGCGGAUCAGCUUGCCGCGGUGAAUACGUUCCCGGGUCUUGUACACACCGCCCGUCACACCAUGGGAGCGGGUUCUGCCAGAAGUAGUUAGCCUAACCGCAAGGGGGGCGAUUACCACGGCAGGGUUCGUGACUGGGGUGAAGUCGUAACAAGGUA